AUACCUCUUCUCUCUCCUCCUU
RNAcentral lists this small RNA (22 nucleotides) under Arabidopsis thaliana (thale cress). Its description in RNAcentral is "ATSL181180". The record is from RNAcentral. Lineage: Eukaryota; Viridiplantae; Streptophyta; Magnoliopsida; Brassicales; Brassicaceae.